UACGUAGGGGGCGAGCGUUAUCCGGAAUUACUGGACGUAAAGCGCACGCAGGCGGUUCGCCAAGUUUGGAGUGACAGUUGUCGGCUCAACCGACAAAGGACUUCAAAAACUGGUGAACUUGAGGACGAGAGAGGAACAUGGAACUCCAGGUGUAGUAGUGAAAUGCGUAGAUAUCUGGAAGAACACCAAUGGCGAAGGCAAUGUUCUGGCUCGUUUCUGACGCUCAGGUGCGAAAGCCAGGGGAGCGAACGGG
Molecule: ribosomal RNA, 253 nt
Filed under: uncultured bacterium
Lineage: Bacteria
Description: partial 16S ribosomal RNA
Rfam family: Bacterial small subunit ribosomal RNA
Source: RNAcentral